CAAAUUUAUGCUUGAAUUCUGGCCAUCACAUGCUACAUAUUCUACACAGUGCCUUCAGGCAAAAAUUUUUAUAAUCACAAAUCUUACUCACUGCCCCUCCCUUCUACCAACGGUUGGCUCUCCACCAGUCUCUGCCUGUUUGUGUUCUCUCUAGUCCCUUCAAAUUGUGUGUUUUAAAAAAUUUUAGGGGCGCCUGGGUGGCUCAGUGGGUUGGGCGUCCGACUUCAGCUCAGGUCACGAUCUCGUGGUCCGUGAGUUCGAGCCCCGCGUCGGGCUCUGGGCUGAUGGCUCAGAGCCUGGAGCCUGCUUCCGAUUCUGUGUCUCCCUCUCUCUCUGCCCCUCCCCCGUUCAUGCUCUGUCUCUGUCUCAAAAAUAAAUAAAACGUUAAAAAAAUUUUUUUUUUAAAUUUUCUCCAGAGUCUAUCAUUAUUAAAAUACAAUACAGGCUACUUGACCACUAUUGAGAAAAAAACAAAAAACCUUCAACUUUUGUAAAACACUCAAGGAAAGGGGUGCCUGGGUGGCUCAGUCGGUUGAGCAUCCGACUUUGGCUCAGGUCAUGGUUUCAUGGUUCCUGAGUUUGAGCCCUGUGUUGGGCUCACUGCUGUCAGUGCGGAUCCUCUGUCCUGCCCUCCACCCCUCCCCCACUCACUCUUUCAAAAAUAAAUAAAACAUUUUGAAAAAAACCACUCAAGUGAAGAUGUUGACUUGUCUGAAAUUCACAGGGAUGAUAAAAAGUAGCAAUAUGCAUCUAGUAUUCACUGACAUAUUGAUGGUGUUUAAAGCCAUGAGAAGAGAAGGGACCACUAAAAGGUGAGCAUAAACAGGAAAGGGACCAAGAAUAGAAAGAGAGAGGUUUUGGGGUUUUGGGUUUUUUUUUUUGGUUUUUUUUUUUUUUGCUUUUUUGUUUUUUAUUAAAUAGUUAAUGUAAUCCUCUUGAAAUUAGCAGUAAUUACAGAUGCCAUUUAUUGAACCUGGCACUGAGGUGUUCCAUGCAUCUCACUGAAUUCAUCCAACAGUAUCACAAGACAAACUGAGGCUGACAAGGGAAGUGCACGCAAAGAGGAACUUUAGGAAGAGAUGAGCAGAAGGGAACAUUAAGAAUGGAUGAGAACAGCAGAGUGAAGGAAACUGCUGAGGCAGAGCACAGUUUACAGGUGUGGGUGCACAUAGGAGUGGAAAAGACUGAAGGGCAACAAGGGUGAAGGCGGACAGGAGAGGAAGGGCCUUCAGGGUAUGCAUCCAACAUGGACUUUGUGGCAUGACCAGCAUCCAAAUGGAAGAAGUGAAAAAUGUUUCCCAAGACCUCUAGGACCCCAUUCGUUUGCAUGAUCGGUGAGUGGGCUCACCUCCUGGCUGUGGACAAUAUCUCCGGAUCCUUUCAAGGAUACGGGCUCAAGCCACAUGAAAGGAAGAAAAUCUACAAAUCAAGUCAAAGGCUUUUUGUCUGCAAAGCCCCUGUUCUGCCCUCCACACAAUGCAGCCUCCCAGACCCCAGAGUCAUAAUAUAAGCCAAGAGUGACCGGGACGUAGUCUCUUGAGGACCUACUGAAGGAGGAUUUGAUGUGGAGACCAGGUGAGUGAAGAAAAGUGUUGUUUCUUUCUUUCUUUUUUUUCUUUAAUUAUAGUGUUGUAAUUUUAUUUUUUAAGUUUAUUUACUUUGAGAGAGUGCCUGCAUGUGCACACACACAUAUGCUCAGGGGAGGGGGAGAGAGAGAGAGAAUCCCAAGCAGAGCUCGACACAGGGCUCAAUCUCAUUGAACUGAGAUCACUUGAUCGCUUGAUCAAGUCAAGAGUUGGAUGCUUAACUGACUGAGUCACCCAGGCACCCCGGAAGUGCUGCUUCUGAGAAGGAGGAAGGGAAGAUGACAGGAAGAUGGGGUGAGCAAGGAGAAAAGAGGAUGUGGUAGAAAAAAAUCACACUUAAUGUUCAGUGAGCGCUUCUUAUGUGUCAGACACUGUCUUGAAUGCUUUCCUUCUAUUAAUUUCAUUUUUGGGGCAUGGAAACAGACGCCCAAGAUCACACGGCUGGUUAAUGGCAGGCAGCGCACGUCCAGAGCCCAAAACUUAACCGGUGUUGUGCACAGGGAAAGAACGGGGAUAGAAAGAGGCACCGCUCUUCUGAUGGGGGCUAAAAAAGAAGAGGCUGGACGAAGUUAGAGCUUCUAAAGCCAAGGCCCUGUUCUAUUGGGCUGGGCUCCUCCUCAGAAUUACACAAAAGUUCUGGGAUCUUCUGGACCCCACGACACAAAGAAAACGUCUCUGAUAAUCCAUCUGUGCCUAAAACCACUGUGAUGGUGCACGAGUUAAGAAUGUGUGACCUACACGUAGGAGAAUCUCUGAGUGAUGGUGCCUUCGGCUACAAAGUUAUGUAGUUAUUUCAUAUAAUAAGAAGCCUGGAGGCAGGCAGUCCCUGGAGUGGUGUCAUCAGCUUCCUGAUGUCUCCAAGAAAUCAGGACCUUGGCAUCCUUACGUUUUAUCAUCCUCAGUGUAUGGACUUUUUAGCCUUGGGCUUGUUUCCUCGUGGUUACAGAAUGGCUGCCAGAGCUGCAGAGCUCACAAAACCAUCUUCAGGGCAGAUGGCAGGUAC
This is a long non-coding RNA of Panthera uncia (snow leopard), 2589 nucleotides long. RefSeq lists it as uncharacterized. The transcript has 3 exons. Lineage: Eukaryota; Metazoa; Chordata; Mammalia; Carnivora; Felidae. The record is from RefSeq and is a predicted model, not a curated record.